GUGCUUACCUGGUAGGGGAGACACCACGAUCGCGAGGGGGGUUUCCAGGGCUGGGCUCAUCCCUUGCGCCCAGAUGUGCUGACCCCUGCAAUUUCCCCAAAUGUAAGAAAUUCAACUGCAUGGUUUGUUGAGGGACUGCUUUGGUGCUCUA
RNAcentral lists this small nuclear RNA (151 nucleotides) under Chinchilla lanigera (long-tailed chinchilla). Its description in RNAcentral is "U1 spliceosomal RNA (ENSCLAG00000019966.1)". It matches the Rfam family "U1 spliceosomal RNA". Rfam says of the family: U1 is a small nuclear RNA (snRNA) component of the spliceosome (involved in pre-mRNA splicing). Its 5' end forms complementary base pairs with the 5' splice junction, thus defining the 5' donor site of an intron. Lineage: Eukaryota; Metazoa; Chordata; Mammalia; Rodentia; Chinchillidae. The record is from RNAcentral.